RNAcentral lists this ribosomal RNA (254 nucleotides) under uncultured bacterium. Its description in RNAcentral is "partial 16S ribosomal RNA". It matches the Rfam family "Bacterial small subunit ribosomal RNA", at positions 524 to 776 of the family's 1533-position model. The record is from RNAcentral.
UACGUAGGGUGCAAGCGUUAUCCGGAAUUAUUGGGCGUAAAGAGCUCGUAGGCGGUUUGUCGCGUCUGCUGUGAAAACUGGGGGCUCAACCCCCAGCCUGCAGUGGGUACGGGCAGACUAGAGUGCGGUAGGGGGAGAUUGGAAUUCCUGGUGUAGCGGUGGAAUGCGCAGAUAUCAGGAGGAACACCGAUGGCGAAGGCAGAUCUCUGGGCCGUAACUGACGCUGAGGAGCGAAAGCAUGGGGAGCGAACAGG